RNAcentral lists this ribosomal RNA (253 nucleotides) under uncultured bacterium. RNAcentral's name for it is "partial 16S ribosomal RNA". It matches the Rfam family "Bacterial small subunit ribosomal RNA", at positions 524 to 776 of the family's 1533-position model. The record is from RNAcentral.
UACGGAGGGUGCAAGCGUUAUCCGGAUUUACUGGGUUUAAAGGGUGCGUAGGUGGGUCUGUAAGUCAGUGGUGAAAUCUCCGGGCUUAACCCGGAAACUGCCAUUGAUACUAUAGGUCUUGAAUAUCCUGGAGGUGAGCGGAAUAUGUCAUGUAGCGGUGAAAUGCGUAGAGAUGUGGAGGAACACCAAUGGCGAAGGCAGCCUUCUGGGCCAACACUGACGCUCAUGCACGAAAGCGUGGGGAGCAAACAGG